Molecule: long non-coding RNA, 971 nt
Filed under: Spirodela polyrhiza (greater duckweed)
Lineage: Eukaryota; Viridiplantae; Streptophyta; Magnoliopsida; Alismatales; Araceae
Description: long non-coding RNA (SPOL_LNC002022)
Source: RNAcentral
GUGGAAGGAGUAGAACGAAUUCCAAGGUGACGCAUGGAAAAUGGCAGCAGUAAACUCACUUUUCCCUUUUCUCUGUUUUCUUCAUGGCACUCUCUUCUCUUCCGUACUUGCUUUAUUAUCUCUUUUUAACUCCUGGUUAAUGUUUGUACCUAUCUUGAUGAAUGAUGAGCCACGAGUUGGCCAAUUUAUUACCUCUUAUUCACUCUUUGGAUAGGUGGAGCACAGCUUUUACCAAUCUUUCACGACGAUGAUGUUCGACCUCAGGUAAUCAUUUAGAAUUAUUAUAGUUAUUGUUGUCUAUCAUUAAAUGAUCAACUGAUGUCGACGCAGGCUCUUUCUUCACAUGUCUUGGUAGCCUGCUAAUAUAAUCUCAGUUCCAGUGAAGUGUCUCUUCAUUAAAAGCAUUUCAAUGUUUCCUUCAUAAGUUCCGCUGUUCAGAUCUCAUCACCAGGUUUUCGUUGAUUUUCUCAUGUGUGAUACGCUCAGUUCUUACUUCCCUAGAUCUUUAUAAAUGUGUGUAAUAACCAUUGUAAUGGUUUUUUUUGCCAGGUUCUUUGAAAAUUGGUGCCUUUCUCAGAGAACGAUCACCAUCAAAUUAUAAUAAUUGGGAAAAAAAAUCUUGGAGGUGAUGCUAUCAUAUUUAGCUGGAAAAGACGAUUGAGUGAGGUAUUAUAUUUUACGGAAUAAAGUUAAUUGGUUAUGUUGGACGUUUUAACAUGACGAAUUAGUAUUAGGACUCUAGAAUAUAUCUUGCUUAUUCCACAAAAAGACCCCCAUUGUCGCUUCUGGUUUGAGCUCAGUGAAGUGCCUAUUAAGGGAUUUCUUGAGCCCCCUCUGACCUCACUUCUCUCCCCAAAUCAAUGCAUGUUUUACGGCUUUCCCUGUUUAGAUAGCUAUGGAAAUGCUCAGAUUAGCUUGUUUCUUUAAUCUUAGAUUUUUUGGAGGUCUUUCAUGCCCAAGAAAAACAGGAC